RNAcentral lists this ribosomal RNA (253 nucleotides) under uncultured bacterium. Its description in RNAcentral is "partial 16S ribosomal RNA". It matches the Rfam family "Bacterial small subunit ribosomal RNA", at positions 524 to 776 of the family's 1533-position model. The record is from RNAcentral.
UACGGAGGGUGCAAGCGUUAUCCGGAUUCACUGGGUUUAAAGGGUGCGUAGGCGGACAGGUAAGUCAGUGGUGAAAUCUCUGGGCUUAACCCAGAAACUGCCGUUGAUACUAUUUGUCUUGAAUAUCCUGGAGGUAGGCGGAAUAUGUCAUGUAGCGGUGAAAUGCUUAGAUAUGACAUAGAACACCAAUUGCGAAGGCAGCUGGCUACACAAAUAUUGACACUGAGGCACGAAAGCGUGGGGAUCAAACAGG